RNAcentral lists this long non-coding RNA (296 nucleotides) under Elaeis guineensis (African oil palm). RNAcentral describes it as "long non-coding RNA (EGUI_LNC065850)". Lineage: Eukaryota; Viridiplantae; Streptophyta; Magnoliopsida; Arecales; Arecaceae. The record is from RNAcentral.
UAAAUGAGACAUGCAAGAUAAUAUUUAUUAAAUAAAUCAUAGGAGAACAAUGAUCGUCUGAGGGUUAGAUCAAAAAUUCAUAGGUUAGUGCCAUUGAACCCAUAAAUUGGAGCAAAAUCAAGAAGAAAAAAAGAAAUGACUACGAACAAGGACUAAAACCCCUAAUUUAAACCAAUCAAACAAAGAGGAUUCUAAAUAAUAGACCAAAUACUAUAAAAUCCUAGAAACCCUUAUGUAAAUCCAAAAAAAAUCCAACCUAAAAACAAUCGUCGGAUCUAGAUCGAACACCAACCCCA